AUGCUUGUGCCGGGAGGUCUGCUGGGCCCUGCAGGAGCAGCAAGGCAGGGCUGGUGUCACCUCAUUUCUGUCCUGGGGCUGCGAAGAAGUUUCCAGGAGGCCCCGGCUGGAGUGGUGCUGCACAGCUCGGCUGUCCUGGGCACGGCACGGCACACACAGCCUGCAGGAGCAGCUCUGGGGCUGGGGCACAGCUCCCAGGAGGGAGCAGCCUCCUUGGCACGGGUGAGGUCCGUGUUUGCAGAGGAUGGCGAGCGUACCUGGCGCGCUCCAGGUUCGGCUUCCCGGAGUGUGCCCGGCCCCAGCCGCCUCCUCUCGACCCCCGUGCGCGCCCCCGGCAGCCGGGGGGGGCUGAGGAAGGCUGCGAGCGGGCACCCCCCGUGCACGAGGGCCCGGGGGCGAGCGGCGGGGCGCGGGGCGCGGGGGCGGGCAGUGCGCGCAGCCCGGCCCACCCGCCCGACGCCACUCGUCGGGAGAGGGGGGGGGGGGGGGGGGGAGGAGGAGGAGGAGGGGAGGAGGAGGAGGAGGAGGAGCGGCUGCGAGCUCGGCUCUGGGCAUCUCAACCUGGCUGGCAGCGCGGCGGCAGGGAGCGCGGCACGCCGGGGGCACCGCACCGUCCGCAAUUGCGCCGCACCCCGGGGCCAUAGGUGCUCUUUAUGGCAUGUGGCUGGUAACUUUUUUCCUGCUCUACUCUUUGCCGAAAGGUACGUGGCGCCCGGCAGCGGGGACGCGGCGGGCUCCCCCCGGUGCCCUGCACCCCCCCGGUGCCCAGCACCCCCUCCGUGCGCCCCAACGGGGCUCCGGGGCCACGGGCGCGGCGCCCCCCGCGGAGCGCUCCGGGGGUCCCGGCGGGGGGCUCGGGGUGCCGCCCGCCCCCCGGGGGUCCCAGGGGCUCUGGGAGCCGAGCCCGAGCCCCCAGCGGUGCCGGAGCCCCCCGGGGGGCGGGCUGCCCGCUGCCCCGACGGGACCUGCCGGGGCUGGCGGCGGUACUUUGGAGAGCUUUGUUCUGGUGUCCCCGCUUUUCCGGGACUACUUAGAGCGAUAUCCUAA
This 1047-nucleotide long non-coding RNA is filed under the name Anas platyrhynchos platyrhynchos (common mallard). RNAcentral describes it as "lncRNA (ENSAPLG00000022826.1)". Lineage: Eukaryota; Metazoa; Chordata; Aves; Anseriformes; Anatidae. The record is from RNAcentral.